UAGGAAGUGGUGUCAAGGGAGCACUGUAAGUUUUGAACUUUCAAGGAGGGUUCGAGUCCCUUCUUCCUAU
Molecule: transfer RNA, 70 nt
Filed under: Percichthys trucha
Lineage: Eukaryota; Metazoa; Chordata; Actinopteri; Centrarchiformes; Percichthyidae
Description: tRNA-Gln
Rfam family: tRNA
About the family: Transfer RNA (tRNA) molecules are approximately 80 nucleotides in length. Their secondary structure includes four short double-helical elements and three loops (D, anti-codon, and T loops).
Source: RNAcentral